Molecule: ribosomal RNA, 301 nt
Filed under: uncultured bacterium
Lineage: Bacteria
Description: partial 16S ribosomal RNA
Rfam family: Bacterial small subunit ribosomal RNA
Source: RNAcentral
CAGUCGCCGCGGUAAUACGUAGGGUGCAAGCGUUGUCCGGAAUUAUUGGGCGUAAAGAGCUCGUAGGCGGUUUGUCGCGUCUGCUGUGAAAUCCCGAGGCUCAACCUCGGGCUUGCAGUGGGUACGGGCAGACUAGAGUGCGGUAGGGGAGAUUGGAAUUCCUGGUGUAGCGGUGGAAUGCGCAGAUAUCAGGAGGAACACCGAUGGCGAAGGCAGAUCUCUGGGCCGUAACUGACGCUGAGGAGCGAAAGCGUGGGGAGCGAACAGGAUUAGAGACCCCUGUAGUCCCUGUCUCUUAUAA